This 253-nucleotide ribosomal RNA is filed under the name uncultured bacterium. RNAcentral describes it as "partial 16S ribosomal RNA". It matches the Rfam family "Bacterial small subunit ribosomal RNA", at positions 524 to 776 of the family's 1533-position model. The record is from RNAcentral.
UACGUAGGGUCCGAGCGUUGUCCGGAAUUACUGGGCGUAAAGGGCGCGUAGGCGGCCUGUUAAGUCGAACGUGAAAUCCCCGGGCUCAACCCGGGAACUGCGUCCGAUACUGGCAGGCUUGAAUCCGGGAGAGGGAUGCGGAAUUCCAGGUGUAGCGGUGAAAUGCGUAGAUAUCUGGAGGAACACCGGUGGCGAAGGCGGCAUCCUGGACCGGUAUUGACGCUGAGGCGCGAAAGCGUGGGGAGCAAACAGG